This is a non-coding RNA of Fukomys damarensis (Damara mole-rat), 62 nucleotides long. The record is from Rfam. Lineage: Eukaryota; Metazoa; Chordata; Mammalia; Rodentia; Bathyergidae.
UAGGGGGGACGGGGCUCGGAGCCCCUCCCCGAGCCCAGGGUAACCCUAACUGUGGAGGGGCA